This 531-nucleotide ribosomal RNA is filed under the name Escherichia coli. RNAcentral's name for it is "partial 23S ribosomal RNA". It matches the Rfam family "Bacterial large subunit ribosomal RNA", at positions 964 to 1498 of the family's 2925-position model. Lineage: Bacteria; Pseudomonadati; Pseudomonadota; Gammaproteobacteria; Enterobacterales; Enterobacteriaceae. The record is from RNAcentral.
GGAGAAUGUUAUCACGGGAGACACACGGCGGGUGCUAACGUCCGUCGUGAAGAGGGAAACAACCCAGACCGCCAGCUAAGGUCCCAAAGUCAUGGUUAAGUGGGAAACGAUGUGGGAAGGCCCAGACAGCCAGGAUGUUGGCUUAGAAGCAGCCAUCAUUUAAAGAAAGCGUAAUAGCUCACUGGUCGAGUCGGCCUGCGCGGAAGAUGUAACGGGGCUAAACCAUGCACCGAAGCUGCGGCAGCGACGCUGAUGCGUUGUUGGGUAGGGGAGCGUUCUGUAAGCCUGCGAAGGUGUGCUGUGAGGCAUGCUGGAGGUAUCAGAAGUGCGAAUGCUGACAUAAGUAACGAUAAAGCGGGUGAAAAGCCCGCUCGCCGGAAGACCAAGGGUUCCUGUCCAACGUUAAUCGGGGCAGGGUGAGUCGACCCCUAAGGCGAGGCCGAAAGGCGUAGUCGAUGGGAAACAGGUUAAUAUUCCUGUACUUGGUGUUACUGCGAAGGGGGGACGGAGAAGGCUAUGUUGGCCGGGCGA